UAAGCAUAUCAAUAAGCGGAGGAAAAGAAACUAACAAGGAUUCCCCUAGUAACUGCGAGUGAAGCGGGAAAAGCUCAAAUUUAAAAUCUGGCGGUCUUUGGCUGUCCGAGUUGUAAUCUAGAGAAGUGUUAUCCGCGUUGGACCGUGUACAAGUCUCCUGGAAUGGAGCGUCAUAGAGGGUGAGAAUCCCGUCUUUGACACGGACUGCCAGGGCUUUGUGAUGCGCUCUCAAAGAGUCGAGUUGUUUGGGAAUGCAGCUCAAAAUGGGUGGUAAAUUCCAUCUAAAGCUAAAUAUUGGCGAGAGACCGAUAGCGAACAAGUACCGUGAGGGAAAGAUGAAAAGAACUUUGGAAAGAGAGUUAAACAGUACGUGAAAUUGCUGAAAGGGAAACGCUUGAAGUCAGUCACGUUGUCCAGGGAUCAACCUUGCUUUUGCUUGGUGUACUUUCUGGUUGACGGGUCAGCAUCAAUUUUGACCAUUGGAAAAAGGUCAGGGGAAUGUGGCAUCUUUAGAUGUGUUAUAGCCCUUGGUUGCAUACAAUGGUUGGGAUUGAGGAACUCAGCACGCCGCAAGGCCGGGUUUUUAACCACGUACGUGCUUAGGAUGCUGGCAUAAUGGCUUUAAUCGACCCGUCUUGAAACACGGACCAAGGAGUCUAACAUGCCUGCGAGUGUUUGGGUGGAAAACCCGAGCGCGCAAUGAAAGUGAAAGUUGAGAUCCCUGUCGUGGGGAGCAUCGACGCCCGGACCAGACCUUUUGUGACGGUUCCGCGGUAGAGCAUGUAUGUUGGGACCCGAAAGAUGGUGAACUAUGCCUGAAUAGGGUGAAGCCAGAGGAAACUCUGGUGGAGGCUCGUAGCGAUUCUGACGUGCAAAUCGAUCGUCAAAUUUGGGUAUAGGGGCGAAAGACUAAUCGAACCAUCUAGUAAGCUGGUUCCUGC
RNAcentral lists this ribosomal RNA (941 nucleotides) under Aureonarius caryotoides. RNAcentral's name for it is "Cortinarius caryotoides partial 28S ribosomal RNA". It matches the Rfam family "Eukaryotic large subunit ribosomal RNA", at positions 35 to 961 of the family's 3401-position model. The record is from RNAcentral. Lineage: Eukaryota; Fungi; Basidiomycota; Agaricomycetes; Agaricales; Cortinariaceae.